UAUGUUCUGUCAAUCAUUAUUCUACAGGUUAUUUUAAGUGUUGAGGCUGUCAACUCAUAUAUUGCAUGGGAUUUCUCGUUGCAACAAGGGGCCCUCAGCACACUGCUGGAUAUUGGCUUUCAUGUGGAGUACAUAAGCCCGUCACGGGAGAAAACGUUGAUUCUUCCCUACCGACGUUAUGAAGCUGACCAAGGUAACUUUUGCACUGUUUUCGCUGGAUCGUACAAGCUUGUAUGGGACAACUCAUAUUCAACAUUCUUCAAAAAGACUCUCCGGUACAAGGUGGAUGCAGUGCCUCCGGUCACCGAGACAGAGUAGCCGUGCAGAUGCAGCCGAAGCCCUUAUACCAUGUUGUAACCUUAUUCUUUUGCCGACUGUGUUGCAGCAAUUCUAAUCUCGAGUUUCAACUACACGUGGUAGCCCACUGGUGUAUGAGCGCAGAAUAUGUAUCUUUCUGUGCAAAUAUGUUUACGAUGACUUGCUGAUGCAUGAAUGCAUCUGUACUAGAAGUAUUACUUUUUUUUAUGUGUUUAUAAUUUCAGAAUUAUGGAUGUGCCUAUUUUCCUGAUUGUCCGAUUUAUCAGAAUAUCUGUUGGACCUUGCAUUUGAAUCUAAGAGUCGUCUUCAUUUA
Long non-coding RNA from Triticum aestivum (bread wheat), 631 nucleotides. RefSeq lists it as uncharacterized. The transcript has 5 exons. NCBI's taxonomy places the organism in Eukaryota, Viridiplantae, Streptophyta, Magnoliopsida, Poales, Poaceae. The record is from RefSeq and is a predicted model, not a curated record.